UGGCUCAGAACAACGCUGGCGGCAUGCCUAACACAUGCAAGUCGAACGAGACCUUCGGGUCUAGUGGCGCACGGGUGCGUAACGCGUGGGAAUCUGCCCCUUGGUUCGGAAUAACAGCGAGAAAUUGCUGCUAAUACCGGAUAAUGACGUAAGUCCAAAGAUUUAUCGCCAAGGGAUGAGCCCGCGUAGGAUUAGCUAGUUGGUGUGGUAAAGGCGCACCAAGGCGACGAUCCUUAGCUGGUCUGAGAGGAUGAUCAGCCACACUGGGACUGAGACACGGCCCAGACUCCUACGGGAGGCAGCAGUGGGAAUAUUGGACAAUGGGCGAAAGCCUGAUCCAGCAAUGCCGCGUGAGUGAUGAAGGCCUUAGGGUUGUAAAGCUCUUUACCCGGGAUGAUAAUGACAGUACCGGGAGAAUAAGCUCCGGCUAACUCCGUG
This 438-nucleotide ribosomal RNA is filed under the name uncultured bacterium. Its description in RNAcentral is "bacterial SSU rRNA". It matches the Rfam family "Bacterial small subunit ribosomal RNA", at positions 20 to 507 of the family's 1533-position model. The record is from RNAcentral.